CGAUUGUGUAAGGGACGAAACCUCUUGAGACAAAGUCCCAAAAAGGGGUGUUCUUUUAUUGGCGAUGAACUUUACAAUUGGAAACGAAAAACAACGUGCCUCCAAGGGGCGCAAGCACACGAGUUACAGAAAGGAAAGUGUUUAAGUCUAAAAGCUAAAGAAAUGAAAAUUACAUAUUCUCUGUUCGAGAGUUUUGGAUUCGGUCCUUGCUUCUACGUCUUUUCUCCCUUUUAUACCUCAUAGAUGAUCUCUUUGUGAUUAACUACUCUGAAAACUGCUUGAUCGUCCUAUAACUACCCAUUUCCUUUGUAGUGGCCAUUUUGUCAUGAAACCGCCUUUUAACUGCUGCCAUUAUCUUUCAUCGUUCAACUGCCUUCGAUUGAAUUCCUUGAGUUGUGGAACGUGAUAAGGUUACUUUAACAAUUGCCUUGAUAACUGCAUUCCUUGAUAACUACGAUGCGUUAUGUUUGUUGACACCUUGGGCGACUUGAAGGUUUGGGCGAGAGUAGAAUAACAGCUCUGGGCGACCGUAUGACACCCAUUCAUUCAGAUUCUGAGCGACUUGCAAACUUGGGCGAUGGCGUUACCGCAUUCUUGGGCCCCUUGUUUGGGCCUUCACCUUGACUCGUUCGGUUAGACUUCAUUCUUUGGGCCAUCCGUUUUGGGAAUUCUCCAAUUGGGCUUUACUCCUUGGGCUGUUCGACCUGGGCUGAAUUUUUAUGUGUCAACACUUAUAAAACAAUUCAAAUAUAAAAUAAUAAAACUGAAAGCUCUCUUCCCUCAAACACCCCACCCCAACUCCACCCAAAAAAUCAAACCAGAAAAUCCACUCACCAUCGGCCACCCACACACCACCUCAAAAUCAUCACUUGAAACACUUCAUCUAUUCUUCUGCCGCCAAGAAAUUUCAGCCAAGUAUCCCAAUCAUCCAUCUACUAUUUACUCCCUUAUCCCCACAUUUAACCCUCAGAUUCUCCACCACCGCAGCCAAAUCAAUAAUGGAAAACCGCGACAACUGCUACUCCCACCAUCGCCGUAACUCACCCAACCCACUAUUGUCCAAUUUCGAAGGAGCAGCGGAGGAUCAGAAAAAAUUCCAGUGAGAUCCAAAAAUCAAAUCUAAAAGAAAAAUGGAAAAUAUUCAACUCCAAGAAUGCAACAACGAACAAAUAGAGAGCAACAUCAGUAAUUCUUCAUAGAUCAUCUGUAAGUUAAUCAAUUAAAACCACUUAAAAUUUAAAGCAAAAGCACGCAGCCCCGUUAAAAAAAAAAUGUUCUGCGCACAAAUCAAAUAAAAUCACCAUCCAGAAGGAAAAACUGAGCUUCAAAUUACAUUAACAAAAGCAGGACAAAACAUGACUACGGCUCUGUUAUUCAAUACAUCCACCCCCGCCUCUUUGAUUCCGGGAAGCCUCUUGACUGCCUCUUUUACCGCCUUCACUGAAAAUUUCCAAGAAGUACAAUCAUUGUUGGACAGGAAUUUGGUUAUGAUUCAGCAAGUUAACAAGAAUCACCAAUCGAACAAUCAUGGGAAUAUGGCGAAAAUGUGGGUUUAAUACCGGAAAGUCAUUUCGAUUUAUUUGAAUCUUUCAGCUAAUUUUUCUAAUGUGUUUAAUCAGAACAGCAUUGCAGCAGUGGCGGUGGUUCUAGGUGUGGCUAAGGUAGGCAGAUGAUGGUCGGCGCUGGUUGGGUGGGAUUUAGGUUUAGCGUUGGGGGUGGUUUUGGGGGGCGUGGAGUAGAUGUUUCUAUUUUGUU
This 1755-nucleotide long non-coding RNA is filed under the name Olea europaea subsp. europaea. Lineage: Eukaryota; Viridiplantae; Streptophyta; Magnoliopsida; Lamiales; Oleaceae. The record is from RNAcentral.